AGGUUGGGGUUUGAACAUGCAUCAUCGACGCAGAUCUUCUUCCAAGUAAAGCUUUAGAAGUAAUGCCUUCCGUCAUUUCUUAUGGAAGCACUACCCUCUGGAGAUGUAACUUUUACAGCCACUUUGGAUUUAAAC
Hydractinia symbiolongicarpus is the source of this 135-nucleotide long non-coding RNA. RefSeq lists it as uncharacterized. The transcript is spliced from 2 exons. Lineage: Eukaryota; Metazoa; Cnidaria; Hydrozoa; Anthoathecata; Hydractiniidae. The record is from RefSeq and is a predicted model, not a curated record.